UACGUAGGGUGCAAGCGUUAAUCGGAAUUACUGGGCGUAAAGCGUGCGCAGGCGGCUAUGCAAGACAGAUGUGAAAUCCCCGGGCUCAACCUGGGAACUGCAUUUGUGGCUGCAUGGCUAGAGUGCGGCAGAGGGGGAUGGAAUUCCGCGUGUAGCAGUGAAAUGCGUAGAUAUGCGGAGGAACACCGAUGGCGAAGGCAAUCCCCUGGGCCUGCACUGACGCUCAUGCACGAAAGCGUGGGGAGCAAACAGG
This 253-nucleotide ribosomal RNA is filed under the name uncultured bacterium. Its description in RNAcentral is "partial 16S ribosomal RNA". It matches the Rfam family "Bacterial small subunit ribosomal RNA", at positions 524 to 776 of the family's 1533-position model. The record is from RNAcentral.